CCUACGGGCGGCAGCAGUGGGGAAUAUUGGACAAUGUGCGAAAGCCUGAUCCAGCCAUGCCGCGUGUGUGAAGAAGGCCUUCGGGUUGUAAAGCACUUUCAGUGGGGAAGAAAGCCUUGGGGCUAAUACCCUCGAGGAAGGACAUCACCCACAGAAGAAGCACCGGCUAACUCCGUGCCAGCAGCCGCGGUAAUACGGAGGGUGCGAGCGUUAAUCGGAAUUACUGGGCGUAAAGCGCGCGUAGGCGGUCUGAUAAGCCGGUUGUGAAAGCCCCGGGCUCAACCUGGGAACGGCAUCCGGAACUGUCAGGCUAGAGUGCAGGAGAGGAAGGUAGAAUUCCCGGUGUAGCGGUGAAAUGCGUAGAGAUCGGGAGGAAUACCAGUGGCGAAGGCGGCCUUCUGGACUGACACUGACGCUGAGGUGCGAAAGCGUGGGUAGCAAACAGGAUUAGAUACCCGAGUAGUC
This 465-nucleotide ribosomal RNA is filed under the name Vreelandella stevensii. RNAcentral's name for it is "partial 16S ribosomal RNA". It matches the Rfam family "Bacterial small subunit ribosomal RNA", at positions 338 to 795 of the family's 1533-position model. Lineage: Bacteria; Pseudomonadati; Pseudomonadota; Gammaproteobacteria; Oceanospirillales; Halomonadaceae. The record is from RNAcentral.